GGAGGGUGCGAGCGUUAAUCGGAAUCUCUGGGCGUAAAGCGCACGUAGGCGGUCUUGCAAGUCAGACGUGAAAUCCCCUUGGCUCAACCGAGGAAUUGCGUUUGAAACUGCAGGACUGGAGUACUGGAAGAGGGUGGCGGAAUUCCCGGUGUAAGGAGUGAAAUCCGUAGAUAUCGGAGGAACACCAGUGGCGAAAGGCGGCCCACCUGGACAGAUACUGACGMUGAAGGUGCGAAAAGCGUGGGGAGCAAACAGGAUUAGAUACCCUGGUAGUCCACGCUGUAAACGAUGGAUGCUAGGUGUCGGGGAGCAAUCUUCGGUGCCGCAGUUAACGCGUUAAGCAUCCCGCC
This 350-nucleotide ribosomal RNA is filed under the name uncultured bacterium. Its description in RNAcentral is "bacterial SSU rRNA". It matches the Rfam family "Bacterial small subunit ribosomal RNA", at positions 527 to 873 of the family's 1533-position model. The record is from RNAcentral.